RNAcentral lists this long non-coding RNA (211 nucleotides) under Prunus persica (peach). RNAcentral describes it as "long non-coding RNA (PPER_LNC003435)". The record is from RNAcentral. Lineage: Eukaryota; Viridiplantae; Streptophyta; Magnoliopsida; Rosales; Rosaceae.
GCCAAUAUAAUGAGCACAUCGAGAGAAAGAGCGGCACAAGCGACUGAGAACAUGAAUGCUUCUUUGUGUUCAACCUCAGCGUCUCUCCUUCGUUCUCUUCUUCAACCCCAGAAGGCUUCCUUCUUCUCUCCCACCAUAUCAAUGGGUCCCCCAGCACCAUUUGUUCUCUUCUUCAACCUCAACGUCUUCAACCCCAGAAGGUUUCCUUCUU